Non-coding RNA from Zootermopsis nevadensis, 1304 nucleotides. The record is from RefSeq and is a predicted model, not a curated record. NCBI's taxonomy places the organism in Eukaryota, Metazoa, Arthropoda, Insecta, Blattodea, Termopsidae.
AUUUACAGUCAGCUCUAGUUAAAUUUGUGAAGGAAGAAACAAUUAAGUAUUAUGAUGAUGUUUCUCUCUGCUAUGUUAUAAAGGGUAAAGCUGAUGUACAACUGUGUUACUUGUGUGUGUAUAUGUGGUUUGAUUUAUAUUAUGGGUAAAAAUACAGUUGUAUUCUUUUUGUAAUUCACUUGAUCUGGCUACACAAUUUCCAAGCAACUCUUGAAUGGGGGUUGGCAAAGGACCCAAUGACACCAUGAACUAGAACCCAUACAAUUUAGGUGGUUUAUUGUAGCACCAUGUAGUCUGAGAGUAGUUUGCCAACAUUUCAGUGGGCCUUGUUGCCUCCAUCAUCAGGGCUCAUUGAAAGAGGCAGUGAGGACCUACAACCCAGAAGACAGCCAUCUUCCUAUUUCAUCAGUGUGCCAUUCAUUUAUUGCCUGAUGCAGUAAAGGAAGCUGUUGAGUAAUGAAGGACACAUGUUGACCGACUUCGAUGUCUCGAUUACUCCAUGCAAGAGACCUUAGUCCUCAUUUACAUGUUCAAAUCCACGAGCAUGAAAUUUCCUUUGAAUAUUCCUGUGCAGAUCGAAUUUUUACAUUGAAGGGAUUUGACAAGAACAACUACUCAUCUAUUCCAAUGCCUGGAUAGGCUUCUGAGGAAGCAAGAAAUUAUUCAGCAACAACCGAAAGCUGCACUUCAUAAGCAACAAUAGUGUUCAACAAUCAAUGUAACCGAAACACAUAGCUGGAAAUAUUCCUGCCACAAGAGCUCAAACAGGUGAAAAGUAAGAAGUCUGGUACAGUGCUACCAACAGAUCUAACAAUCAGUUCAGCUGGUGGGGAAAUCAGCCUGUAUCUAUCAAUCGCACUAGAUGAUGGCCUAACACUCACAGAUGGUGCACCUCAGAAAUGGGCUCUGGAGCUCCCAGAUACGUCAUCGUCAGCCACCAGCUCUAGUGGGAAAUACGAAAGAGAUAUGACACUGUGCAUACUUGUUCCAAAGCAGAAGCAAACUUCCACGAGUUUCUCUGUUAACUAUUGUUUGUACGCGUCACGAACAUUCAGAAUGCAAAACCUACACUUUGUUGGAACCGUUAUAUAUGCUGAAGGUGCACCAGCUAAAGUUGUCCACCAUUUUACUCACGUUAUCAGACCGUAUCAAGCGCAAUAGCAAACCAUCAUAAUCCAUGUAUAUGCUUCAUUUUUGUAAAUACCCAAAUAUUUUUUUGAAAUCUCAGUGUGUACUAUCAGUUUUAACAUGUGAAUGUUAUUUCAAACAUGCAUGAAAUAAAGAAAAUCUGCCAAGCAGUAUUA